Acinonyx jubatus (cheetah) is the source of this 757-nucleotide long non-coding RNA. RefSeq lists it as uncharacterized. Lineage: Eukaryota; Metazoa; Chordata; Mammalia; Carnivora; Felidae. The record is from RefSeq and is a predicted model, not a curated record. The transcript has 4 exons.
CUCACUUCUAGGCAUGCUUAUGCCUUGUGAUUAAUUCUCCAUUUGUUCAACCUAUCUGUUGGAUGGACAGAGAAAACAUUGAAGUCCUAGAAGAAGGCUGAGCCACACCAUGGAAAGAACUAAUCUCUGAAUGACUAUGGGAAUAGAGGCCCUCACUGCUCUUAAAGACUUCUGGAACACUACAGUAAGGAUACAAGACCUAGAACAAGUAAAUAGAAUUAUGCCGAUUACAGUCAUGGAAUUUUAGUGUUCUAUGAAGUCAGCAAAGUCAGAAAUUAUGAGCAUGUUCUUUGCUCUUAAGAGUAUGAUCAAAAUCAUUUGUGCACCUCAGAUUUGCCUCCCUCUUGGAUCACUCAUUCUCAGGGAAAUCAGCCACCAUUUUCUGAGCUGCUUUACAGAGAAGCCCAGGAGGUAAAGAGCUGGGGGGACUAUAGUCCAGCAGCCAGCAAGGAAAUGAAGCCUGCCAACAACCAGGCAAGUGAGCUUUGAAGUGGAUUCUCUGGUCCUAAUACAGCCUUCAGAUGAGAGCAGGCCACGCCAACUGUACUCUGGUGAGAGAUGCUGAGCAAGAACCACCCAGAUGCCCACGCCCAGACUCCAAGCCCUCAGAAUCUGUGAGAUAAUAAACGUUGUUUUAACCUGCCCCUUGAGGAAAACGAAUAUAGACACAAAGAGCACAGAGUGUGGGGACAUAACGUGUUGCUUUAUCUCUCAGAACUUUAUCUUCCCAUUCUUAAAACCAGGUCUUACUUAACUA